Gadus chalcogrammus (walleye pollock) is the source of this 2534-nucleotide long non-coding RNA. RefSeq lists it as uncharacterized. Lineage: Eukaryota; Metazoa; Chordata; Actinopteri; Gadiformes; Gadidae. The record is from RefSeq and is a predicted model, not a curated record. The transcript has 9 exons.
GCCCGCCUCUCAAUCACAUGAAUUAAACAGACUUCAAUGUGUAGUCGUGAGAGCACAAUGGCAAAAAGGGCUAUUUUAAUGCUUUUGCCUACAUUAUUAGGUAUUGCUUUAACUCAGGAGAACUUCUAUGGAGAAAGAUUAAGUUUUAGGUCUUUGCAAAAGACGAAGGAUGGAACUGUUCAGGUGAGCUUCUACUAUCGAGAGAAUGGCAGAGGUAGCUGCAAAAACCAACUCUCCUAUCGCUGUGAGAUUGGGUAUUGUAAUAACACAGAGGACUCCAAGCCUGUGCUUACAGACAGCAGCAGCUUUGCUCAUGAACAGUGGUGCCAGUCGGAGGGACAGGCCAGAGUAGCCUCCCUCAACAACCAUUCCCUUGUCUUAAAAGACACAGGUUGCUGCUGGCCCCCUAAUGUUCAUGGUAAAACAAAAUGGAUGGCUGGGGGAAAGUUGGACCUGGGAUAUCGAUCAGACACACACACCUACAACAAAAUUCCUGUCACUGCAACAGUGCCAUAUUUACGGGUUCCUCAGAACUGUUUCACAAAGCUUCGACUUCUGGCCUAUGAUCCGGAUGGGGACCAUGUGCGAUGCCUUUUUGCAUCAACAAGUGUUGAUUCAAAGGUUACUCUGGAUGAGAAUGAGUGCACAAUCAAAGCUACAGGCCUGCUAGAUGUUGGGCUCCAUGUGUUUGAGCUGGUGCUUGAAGAGAUGUCAAUCUGACUUAUGAUGAUGGAUCCUCCUCUGAAAAAAAAGCGUUCAACAUUCACCCUGGUAUCCACUCAACCCCUUUCAGCCAAAUAUAUCUACAAUUUACGCUACAGAUCCUAUAUCCGGCACACAACUGCAUAGCCGGUCACGUGGUUCCCCAGUACCUGCUGCCGACAGCAUCCCACGGCGACGUUCGCCAGGCUUCUGUUGGGGAAAGAUUCCAGCUUCAUAUCCACGCCCAGGCCAGCGAGACCAAGAUUAUGGACUUUCAGAUCAGUGGCCCUCAGAACAUGGCCAAGAGUAUGACCACUGGUACUUUAGGGAAUGCGUCAGUCAUUCUGAACUGGACACCAGCUCUCAAUGACCUCUACCGGCUUGUACCAGUUUGCUUCACUGCUGAGACAUAUGAAAGCCAAUCAGAAAUGAGGUGUGUUAUUGUAAUGGUUACCAGAUCAUCCACCUCUGAAGGUAAAGCUGUAGUGAAAUGCUCAGCAACACAGAUGACUGUUUCCCUGGAAAAAAUGUCCAUGGAUGGCAUCGACAAGAACUGGCUGAAUAUGAAUGACCCCUCAUGUUCUAUGAGUUCUAAUGCCACACAUAUCAUGGCCACCAUGUCAUUCAACCCCUGUGGAACAAAACUUGAGGUAUGUUUCAACAUAAAAGGGGAACAUUGUAUCAUCGUAGGAUUUUACAUUGAUGUUGACACCAGAUGCAUAUUACUAAUUUUAUUUAUUUAAACUUUAUUAUUCUAGAUUUCUGCUAUCAUAUUUGCCAAAUCAGAUACAAAGAUAGCAAAGUAGAUAAUCACUAUUUUAAAGGUUGCGUAGGUGAUUCGCUUUUUUGGCCAUUUUUGCAAAAUUACUUGCAAUCCUUAUCAUAACCCGCUUACAGCCACUGAGUUAGAAGUACUGACAUGAAAAUUUAACUUGUCAAUCAUCUGUGGAACGGGCAGGGCUCGAAAAACUCCAGCCAAUCAUUUCCAUUGCCACCGAGUUUCAUUGGACAGUAAGUACGUCAAUCAAACGGUCGUACUCCACUCCCCCUCCCCCGCGCCCCGCGCGCGACCCCUUCGUGCAGUACUCGUGACCCAGAGCUCGUGACCCAGAGCAAGCUCCUGUUUGUUGUUAUCCUGCGGUAUCUACUGGAACUAGUUAAUCCACAUUUGGACCUAGAAGUAGAAGACAAUUUCCAUGGCAGACAAGACGCCACCAUCCCCACCACCACCACCACCACCAGCAAAGAGAAGGAAAACUCUUUUUCAGAGAGUAAUUGAUAAUAAAAACGCUGAAAGAGAAAAACUGAAAUCAAGAAUAAUCCUAGGCGCUGCUUUUGAACGUUUGCGGCAACUGAAGGACGAGAAGGGUCUAAAAACCGAUGCUUGUGUGGCGGUUGACCUAGUUUCAAAGUUUAUACCGUUUAUACUCGGUAAUACCAGUGUUGAGACGAGUGUAUUACUCGGUGUGAAAAUGUCCACACUGCGGCAACCCUAGUGAAAACCAGGACUUCCAAUACAAUUAUAUGAAACAAACAUACAUUUUCUAAAAAUAGUAAUGAUUUAUGUGACCGUUUAAUGUUUAUAACAUCUGGUGCAACCAUAGCCGCGAGAACGUAUUCUCAGCAGGGGGUGCUGGGAAAAAAACCCGGCCUGCACUAGACUCGCAACUCGUCACAUUGAUAAAAAAAAGAUAUAUAGCAGCACAGCUCAAUUACACCAGUGCAUGCGCGCACAGUUGAAAAUCGAUCGUUGUGUUCACUUCCUUCACACCAUGGUUCACAUCCAGCUGCUCACAGAACAAGUUUAGCGCACCACCGCUACCCUCACACUU